This 1674-nucleotide long non-coding RNA is filed under the name Ananas comosus (pineapple). Its description in RNAcentral is "long non-coding RNA (ACOM_LNC023068)". The record is from RNAcentral. Lineage: Eukaryota; Viridiplantae; Streptophyta; Magnoliopsida; Poales; Bromeliaceae.
AGGAUAGUUAGCUGGGCUACUCAUUAUUUGACAACUUGCUAUGGCAUCCAAAUGAGCCCCAAAGUAGCUAAUAAAUUGGAUAGAAAAUAGCAGCAGUGGCAUUUAAGGCUUUGUGAUCAAGUAAGGGUAGGGCUGGCAAACGAGCGAGCCGGCUCGCGUUCGACUCGUGUUCGGCUCGAUAUUCGGCUCGCUCGAGUUCGACUCGAAAUUAAAUGAGCUGAACUUGAACAAAAUAAAAGGCUCGAAAUUCAUUUCAAGCCGAGCUUGAGUAUUACUCGGCUCGUUCGAAUUAGGCUCGAAAAGCUCGAAAUCUCGAAAAUAUAUAUAUAUAUAUAUAUAUAUAUAUAUAUAGAGUCCGGCUACUAUGCUAUUUAUAGUACGAAGCACUUGGUGCUACCAAGUUUUCCACCAUUAGAUCUACUAGUUGGAUCAUUUUCACCCGUUAGAUCAUACUAUUCAACCAACCACCCACUCAACCCUAAGGGGCCCACAUCAUCUUAACCGCACAUCUCUUAAUACAAUGGCCAAAAACUUGGUAGCUGUCACGCCCCGGAUGUCUCGUUCUCCGGGCACGCCGACAAACCCGCCGUAUAUAAAGGAGUUUCCUCUGUACACGAAGCGACAGCUGUACCUGUAAACAUACAAUACUACAAACAGUAGUAUAGAGCUGCUAGAGAAAACAAAAGCUAAACAAACUGAGUUUCAUAUACAUAGCUCAAAUCCAAAAUACAGAGUUACUCGCACUGGCGAAUUAGGUAAACUAUGUACAUAAACUCGAAACAAAACAUCUACCUGCAGUAGGGGUGCCUCUAGCUCUGCUCGUCGAGUAGGGCUCUAACUCGCGACGCCCUUGCCUCGAUCCUGAUCCGCGGAAGGCGCAGCAGCCGAAACCUGUGGCUCUGCAAAACAGGGGUAACAACUGGGCGUGAGAACUACUGUAAAAACAAGUAGUCCUCAGUGGGUACCGCCCAAAACAACAUCAGUCCACCCACUAAGUCUACAGAAGGGAGCAAGAAUAGUUAGAAAAGCAUGAAAUAAACUCUACCGCUAUCAAUCACUACACUAUCAUGCUCUACACUAACCAACUGUAGGAAAUGACAAAUCUGACCUAAUCCAAUCGGGACUGUAAGCAUACCCGUCCCCGGGACUGUGAAUACACCCGUCCCUGCCCCGUUGCGACUAUCAGGCUCUAUCCACACUAACUGGUCCGUGGAGAGCAAGUCCAACUGGCAUGAGCGACACCAACGUGAAAGCACAAAGCCUGACUCCGGAGUGGCACUCGUGAGCGCUACCCAACCGAGUAUGCAGCGUAUCUCUGUCGAGCUCAAUCAGGCUCUUGAAAGCCAAAGUCCAGUGACCGACUCAAACUGGUCUAACAACCAACAGGUAACGUGCCCUCGGCACAAUCCAACGCCAAAAAGGCGAUACGGGUCCACCGUCAACCCCGACGGCACCCAACAGUCUGGAAACAGCACAAACGACCCUGUAAAAAUUCACUCGGCGUACCAGCACGAGCGUAAAUGUAUUCUAAACUACCUGAAGUACUCGUCUCGAGAAUACAGCGACAGUACAAUUUUAUAACGGCUCCUAGAGCUAAAUCAGACAGUUUAAACAAGUGACAGGUCCAAAUCACAGGUUUUCUCCUAAUUCAAUUCCAAGUCCAACAUGUAUAAC